CGGGGACUCGGUGCGGAGCCGGGGCGCCGAGUGUCUCCGUGUCCCUCUGCCCCAGCCGGCGGCCGCGAUGGUGGAGCUUGGCCUCUCGCUCUCUCCCGCCUCUCCAGCGACUGCUCUGCCGGCCGCGGAGGUCGGAUCGAGCGGUCAUUCAUUCAUUUGUUAAUUCGUUCACUUAUUCAGGGGAGAUCAUUGAACCCCUACGGAGUACCGGGUACUGGGCCGGGCGCUGAGGACGCGGGGCUGAGCAAAAGCAGCCGAGGCCCACCUUCGUGCCCCUUAAAACCCAGCGUGCGGGGCGGCAACGAGUACUGCUUUUCUGUUUUGCACUUAAAAUUUACAUUUUGCAUCCGUACUUUUUAUUUACUGUGCACCCUUACGGCAUGCUUUACGCACCCGUACCUGCACCUCCUAGCCUUGAGUGUAGACACCAGAUCCUGAGAUGGGCGAUUUUUCGAGAAUAAUUUUUACCCUAAGUGGAUUUUCGUGCCACGCAUGGACUUGGAACUACACACACGUAGUCCAAAACGUGAAAGUCAAAAUGCAGCUUUGCCAAGUGGCAGGGAGAAAGGAGAGCUGAGAAGAUGAGGAGAGGAAGGGCGCGCUCCAGGCUUUCCAGCCCGGGUGCGGUAGACGUAGCCCUGAAGGAUGAACCCAGGCUGGUAGUAGGGCGGCGGGAGGGCGGGGGGACCUGUCAGUCAAGUCCAAAGCAGAAACGCGGCGCCGGAUCCCAGUCAGAGGCCGGCUGGAACGCUUCCCACAGGCUCCUGGCGCUCCGGUCCCCACCAGGCGACCUUGAUCCUGGCGUGCUCAGCGGAGCCAGCGCAGCGUCGGGAGCUGGAGAGACGCGGGGCGCCGGCUGAGCGCUCCUGCCCUCUGCCUCUGGGCUAGCCUCUGGCCCGGCCUCCCGGCCUCCCCCAGGGUACGCUCUCCCCCAAGAGCGAACACCAGCUUUGGGAUCGCCAGCAGCCACGUCUCUGCUUCUAGAUCUCUUUUUUUUUUCUUUGAGACUUAGUUGAUAGCUGUUUAAGGAAUUAUGUGGAGGAAAUCUCACCUCCGACCCCCGCCCCCGUUGAGCACGGCCGGCCAGGGUCGCUGGGUGGGCCAGGAGGAAAGAAAGGGGCGGGGAAGAAGCAGCAAUUUUACUUUAAAUUAAAAUGACACAAAAAUAUUUUUUCAACUCAGAUCUUUCUGAGACAUCCCCAGAAAGCGUUGCAAGCUGUGAUUACACCUAAUGUGAGAGCAUGAACUAAUUUAAGAGGUGAGAGCUGCAUAAUGAGGCUGCCUCCCGUGUAGCAGCCAAGACUGGCAGCUCUGGCGGCGCGCUGGAGGGGACCGGGAGGGGCACCCUUGUAGAACCAGUCCCUGGCGCCCUGGGAUCUUCUCAGUGCCCUGGCGCUGUGUUGUCGGUCACUCCACAGAUAUUACAGGGUGCCUCCUGAAUGCCGGGUUGCAAUCAAGAGCAAGAGAUGGGGCGAGUGAAAGAGCCUGUUUUCAGGAGCUCAGCAUCAGGAUGACGAUUACCUAGAGGGAGGUGGUGGCCAGCCUCCCCCUCUUCUCUUCAUGCUGAGGCUCUGGUGGGCAGUGCCCAAGCCUGAACUGCCAUCUGUAUGCCAGUGGUUACCCAACUUGUAUUUUCAGUCUUAGCCUCUCUCUGGUCCAGACUUGUCAUUCUAAGGGCCCUUUUUCACUGACUCACAUUGUCUCCUCCCUCCCUGCCUUCCAAACUCAGCCUUUUCCUUUUUCCCUUUCCCACUGACAACAGCUGCACGACCCCCCCGCCCCCCCACGAGGUGAAAAUUCCCAAGAACCCCAUGUCUAACCUAACUCCCUCUCUAUGUCCUGUUGCUUGAGCCAUUCUCAUUAGGCUGCCUGUUCGGAGUUCAUUAUCUCCUAAUUUUUCAUCCAGGAAUUGAUGAAGAAUCACCUACUGCCUCUCCCACACACUGUUUAUUCUUUCAUUUGAUGAUAUCUGUUAAGUGCCCUGAGAUAUGUAACCUCCACUUCCCUCCCAUAUAAGUGAGAUUUCACGUUGAUUACUUCCUUGGCUUUCCUCAUCCCUUAUCCACAUAGCAUGUGUUCAAAAUAAUGAAUAUUAAUUUAAUGUUAAUAGAUAUGUGCUUUCCUGAAUUGUGAGGAUUAAAUGAAAUCAUGUAUAUAGGGAGGAAAAUCCAUUAGAAACCUCAAAAGCAGUUAUGUUUAUUUUUGCUAUUGUCACAUUGUUAGAGUCAGAAUUCUUUUAGCUGCAAGUGACAAAACCAACUCAAACUGGCUUAAGGACUUUAUUGGUUGAUGCAAAAAGCCUCGGGUUAGGUCUUGCCAUUUAAGGUAGGGCUGGAUCCAUCAAUCCGGGUUACCAGGAUCUGUUUUCUAGUUGUGGCUUCAUUUUCAGACAAGUUGUUUCCAUAUGAUAGCCUCAUAGAAGGUACUACCAGCUUAGUCCUAGCAAGAAAAAAGAGUACUUACUCUUCAAUAUUUGCAGCAGAAGUCCCAGGUCUGUUCUUAUGAGGGCAGUUUGAGUCACUUGCUCUUCUCUGAACGUGGAGAAGGCACUGUUUAGAUGAUGGAGGUUGGAUUCAGGUGCAUCCCCUGGAAUGGGGUUUGGCAUUAGCUUCACGUGGUCUAGAAUAAAGGGGUUCUCCAAAGGAAAAUUAGGGUAGGAAUGCUGAGUAAGCAGAACAAACAGAUGUCUACUUUAGUCCUUCCCAAAGGGUGAGCUGCAAUACAUUGCAGACUAUCAGAAUGGUGAUGAACACGGAUGCAGUAGCCAAGAAAAUAGAUGUGUGUUUGUCGUGGUCUUUUUCAGUCUUCAAGAUCUCAGUUAAACAUGAAGUCAACCACUCACUAUGAUGUUAUUUGAGGUUUAGCUUUGAAGUGGAAAUGUACCACAAAUAGUAGAGCCAGAUAAAUACAAAUAAAUAAUUUUAACAGUCCAUUCUAAAAGAUUUCUUUGGUAAUAUUCUGUUGGAAUUGAUUUCUAUCUUUUCAUUUGUUAGGUUCCUGGAAAGUGAAAAUUUCAUUUCUUUGUGGACAGGUACCUAAAAUGUCUCAUUAUUCAUCAAUUAAUGAAAAACAAAUGAAAAUUUGAGAGAGAUAUUCUGAAGAAUAAAAGGAUCAAGUUGGGUCAUUUCUAAAAUGUAAGAUUAUAAGGUUUAACUUGCUAAGACUUUUGAGGGGUUGAAUUAUUGGUAAAUUAUUAUAGAACCACUUAUCUGAGGCUUUUAAAAGUGAUGUGUUACAGAGAUUUAGGGAACUGCAAGAUUGCAGAUAAAGAAUUUAUACUGUCAACUGUUCUAUACUUUACCUUCUGCUUUAAAUGCGGCCUUAUAUUUUGAAGUCAAACAUUUAUUUUCUCUCACUGCGUUCUGAAUUUCCUACCACAGUGCAUUUUGAGAAAUGAAUAUAACAGCAGUCUUCAUAGAUGCCAUAUUCAUGGCAACUCUGUCCCCCGCCAACACCACACCCUGGAAAAAAACCAACUUUCUAUUGUUGGAAUGAGGUAACAUUUUCAGGAAAAGGGAACCAUUUUCUCACAGGAUAUAGAACAAAUUCAACCUUUUAUUAAAUCAAAAUGGAUUCUCUAAUGUUUAUACAUAUCAUAUAGGAUUUCAUCUCUUUCAAUCUUGGUUCAAAGGCCCAGACAGUACCAUUCCCUAGUAUUUAGUCCAUUUGCUCAUAAAGCAGAAGAGAAAAGCUACUUUGUUCCGAAGGGUGUUAGAUUUAGGAUUCCAAGGUUAUUUCAAAUUAAUGCCUGGAACUAGACUAUAAAAUGCAGGAAAGAUUCUAAGUUGUUCAAAGAUGAAAUAUCUUAACUUUCACCAAAAACUCUGUCUUCUGGGUAUUUUUUGUUUUUCUGCCUUUCCAGAUUUAUUUUAAAUACAACAUUUUUGCUGUUUACAUUUUUAAAAGUUACAUUUCAAAAUUGUUCAUAAUUGGACACUUUCAUAAAAUGUAGGCAAAUGCAGUUUUACUUUUUAAUGAAGGACAAGUCUGUUGAUAACAUUUUGAUUCUUAAAAUUUUUUUUAUCUUAUAAAAAUGAAACAAUGCAUUUAAAGUGUCUUCAGCUCUUAUGUUAAUACCAAAUUAUACAUUUUCUUAGCCCAUGUUCAGGAGAGACAAUAUAUCUUCCAAAUUAAGAGAAGCUGGCACCAUUUUUAAAACAAGGCCUUGAAUCUGCUGUGGUAUGUGCUGGUAGGAAUUUUGUAUGAAGCUGUUAUUGAAGUAGAUGACAUUAAGGUCAAAGGAAAAAAAAAACAGAAAAUAAUGUAAUCCUACAGAGCUGCUCUUAAGAUCUUGAGAGAAAAACCACGUAGGUAACAUCAAACACUAGUUGGAAUCUUUCCAAGAAGUAAUUAUCUGUGUGCUGUUUGUGGUGGUUGAUUAUGGGAACAAACCAAGGUUUAGCCAAUUCAGCAAACAUUUAUGGAGUGCCUGCAAUGUGCAUGUCACUGUUUUAAGGCCUGUGCCUACUGUAAAGGUGACCCACACAUGAUGCCUGCCUUGCAGGACUUGGAGUUCAGCGAUAAUAAGAGAUGCAUACCUGAAAAGCCUAUUUAAGACUCUUCCGGUUCUACAAAGAAGGCUUCUUGAAAGUGGUAGCUUUGAUUACUCUUUGGAUUUAUUUACAUUUAUCCUAUAAUCAGAAGGUAUACAAAACAGACUCACACAUAUAUAAAAUUAAUAGAUUAGAUAGCAUUUAAACAAAUAUUUCAGGUAGGUACUUCAAAUGCAUUUGACAUUUAUCAAAGAAAUGGUAAGUGCUGUCAUCCGUGGGUGGCUGGAUUAACAUGUGGGACUACUUAUCACCAAUUUUGUUAGGGAUCUUAGGGAAAUUCCUGGAUCUUAUAUUCACAAGCAAUUGUAUAAAUACUUCCCACAGCUCAGAGACCUAAUAGGAUGGGGUCUUAGAGAAACAUCUUUUGAGCCACAGACUUCUUUGUUACCAGAAGGAAAAUGAAAGAAGAAAUUUAAAUACCACUUGAAGAGAGUUUCCUCAUCAGCAAAGUCAGAAAAAGUAUGUACCUGAAGGACUGAUUGUAAGGCUGGGAUGAGAGAAUCCAUGUGAUCAGCCCUCACCAACAGGUGCUGCCCAGUUCAUGAGUGCUGCUGCUGUCCUGCCCAAGUACCCAGCUUGCAGAGUGCCAGAGUUAGAGUCCCAGGGGUGUUCUCCACAGCUGCAUGCUUGAUCCAGGCCUAUCAGGUGAGUUGGCUCUUGGCUAGUGGUUUUUCUUCUCUUGCUGUACAAAAGUCCAGACAGUAAUGUCUUUUUUUCAUUUUUAUAGAUAUAUUCCAUUGAAAGUCCUCAUUCUCAAAUUUAAAACAAAGACUUUUUGUGUACCUCAAUAGCAAUGCACACACAGUUGGCUUCACAAACAUAUUGUACAUUUCUUUUUUUCAUAUUUAUUCAACAAAUGUAUAUUGACUACCCACCGUGUGACAGGUGUUAUUUGUUGACGGAACCAGGCAUCAUCAGCAAACAAAACUGACAAAGCUUCCUGCCCUCUGUGGAAGGCAUCUGAGGAAGAGACUGGAUUUUGUAGCAACAUGUUAUUCUCAUUAUAAACUUUAUCAUUGGAAUACUAAAGCCAAAUCAUCCCCCAUCUCCUUGAUCAGGAUACCCACUUAAUCUAGGCAGCUACACAAUUGUGAGAGCCUUUGUUUUUUUCUGCUGAAACAUCCUUAAAAAGAUACCUCACAACCCAAGAUUUGGCUUUUCUUAAAUACGAUUUUUAAUUUUUUUCAUUUCUAUCUAGAGAUUUAAUUGGAAAUGGAAAAUCAUCAAUUUUCCAAUUAAAUGUCUGUUCCAAUCAACAUUAUACCUUUUAGGUUGUCAUUGUCAUUUUUAAGUUUAAGCAACUUUAAGGAUUUUGAAUCUGGCUGCCUGUAAAUUAAAGGUGAAAGUAAUCA
This 5905-nucleotide long non-coding RNA is filed under the name Homo sapiens (human). RNAcentral describes it as "HSALNT0385793". Lineage: Eukaryota; Metazoa; Chordata; Mammalia; Primates; Hominidae. The record is from RNAcentral.